RNAcentral lists this ribosomal RNA (301 nucleotides) under uncultured bacterium. RNAcentral describes it as "partial 16S ribosomal RNA". It matches the Rfam family "Bacterial small subunit ribosomal RNA", at positions 509 to 807 of the family's 1533-position model. The record is from RNAcentral.
CAGUCGCCGCGGGAAUACAGAGGGUGCAAGCGUUAAUCGGAAUUACUGGGCGUAAAGCGCGCGUAGGUGGUUUGUUAAGUUGGAUGUGAAAUCCCCGGGCUCAACCUGGGAACUGCAUCCAAAACUGGCAGGCUAGAGUAGGGCAGAGGGUGGUGGAAUUUCCUGUGUAGCGGUGAAAUGCGUAGAGAUCUGGAGGAAUACCGAUGGCGAAGGCAGCCAUCUGGCCUAAUACUGACGCUGAGGUACGAAAGCAUGGGGAGCAAACAGGAUUAGAUACCCGAGUAGUCCCUGUCUCUUAUAC